Molecule: long non-coding RNA, 1975 nt
Organism: Xenia sp. Carnegie-2017
Lineage: Eukaryota; Metazoa; Cnidaria; Anthozoa; Malacalcyonacea; Xeniidae
Exons: 2
Source: RefSeq, a predicted model, not a curated record
UUUCUUGGAGUAUCGGCUAUCGAAGUGUUUUGAUUUUGUUUUGUGUUUCAUUUAUCAAAGCUCAUAAUAUUUUACUUUAACAAAUGAAUUCGUUGCUUGGAUGUUUUGAUUACUUGACGGUUCGUUCCAUCGAUUAGGGGAACCCCCGGUCUCUCUCUCCCAGAGUAUGGCAUUUGCUUUAUGAUUCUAGACAUGUUUUAAAUAUUUUUGGCAAUAAUUAAUCUUGCAACUAUAUCUUAUAUCCAUUCAUUGAUUUUCUCAAAAAAAUUUUUUAUUUUCAUGUCAUUUUCAUCAAGCAACCAGAGCAAUUUUGCAUCAGUUAGAUAAAUGCUAGUCAACUAGAUGAUAAGGGAUUAAUGGUUUAUUUUAAACUAGAUAAAAUUGAUUCAAAUCAACAAUGCCAGGAACCAAGAUUCGAGAUGAAGAUAGGAAAAAUAUCCACUCUAAGUAUAUAUGUACUUACUGUCGUCUUCUUCUUGUCAAUCCAAUGCAGACAUCGUGUGGACAUUUGUUUUGUCAAUCUUGUAUCGAGAAUCUUCUUGAGAAAGGAAAUUUUUGUCUGAUCUUAUGUUUGGAAGUAGUGUCUUGAUAAAAUUGUAGAUUAAAUUAACCAAUGAGGUGUAUAGUAAUUAUAUUAUGUGUGCUUUCAUUUGUCUCAUUGUGGCUUCAUAUAUUCCAACUUUUUUUCAUUAUCUAGACAUUAUCUAGAUCCCAUUGUGGUGCCUACGUUAAAAAUGUCGUUCAUUUUUUACUUCAAUUAUGCUUUUCAAAUAAAUCCAUAUAAACCGAUAUUUUUGUAGCUCUAUAUAUAUUUUUCAUAUGGUUGUUUAAGCAAAAUUAAUCCCCUAAAAAUUGUAACAAGUUUUCAUAUUUGAUCAAUCUGCAGACGUCCUAAUCCAAAAUGUACUGAAGAUGAAAAACAUUUGAACAAAAACAAUGUAAGUAAAAUGUUUCAAUGGAAUAGGACAAAGUUUUGAUAAACACUGUUCCACAUUGCUGUUAUCAGUCGGCUUCAAAUUGUUUGAAAAGAAAAACUUCAUUGAAUUCAUGAACACGAUGGAAACCUAUGCAAGUUCAACAUCCGUUUCGUUUACUAAAAUACAGCUAAAUUAAAAAAGCUUGAAUUUCUAUGAACUUAUACAGAUUUUUCCAAAUGCUGUCAUAAAGCACGAGUUGAACUGUAUUCUUUUACAUUGUCCCAAUGAAAAGUGCAAAUGGCUUGGCCCCUAUCAAGAAUUGAAGGGUCACAUAGGAAGUACAUGCGAAAAUGCUGCCGUGCUCUGUGCAUAUUGCAAAGAUAGAAUUCGAAGAAAGGAUAUUGAAUACCACCUGAACAAAUUUUGCCGCAAAAUUCACGUGAGAAUAUUUAGACUAAUUUAUGAAAAGUUCAACCUCAACUAUCGAUCUGUCAACGUUUUAGAGAGUUUUGUAAAUGAAGUGUGUAGAUAAUAAAUUUCCCUGUAUGGUUUCCUUUUAACAUUAGUUUGUUACCUUGGCUAUAUCUUUUCUUUUUGUUUUUUUAAAACAAAAAAUGAUAAUUGUUGAGUAUAGACAUGACGUAAUAGUACGUGUGAGAUAUGAAAAUCUUAAAAGUUACUAGCUUACAAGAAAAAAUGAAAAAUAUGUUAAAAAUGUUGCAUUAAUAAUUCUGCAUCGUAAUUCUACAUAAAAGAAACUUGCACUUUAGCGAUUUUUGUAUGAAGACGAGUAUCAGAGUUGAACAAUAUCAACAUCUGGAUAUUCUGAACACCAAUGUAGGUACAAGUAAUGGUAUUGAAUGAUACAGUUGUACUGUUUACGGAUGUCAUAAUGGUCUUAGCACUGAGCGCAAUCGUCUGAUCAAACAAAUGUAAUUUUUUGUCUGAAUUUUGCAAUUUAAGCGAUGUCACUAGAUGGUGAAGCUUUCAAAGAGGUUUGACCUAAUCAGUUAAAAGCAUGUUUAUUUUGUUAAUUUGGAAACAGACAUUAUCCUUGA